GAUGAACGCUGACAGAAUGCUUAACACAUGCAAGUCUUUGGCGAAGCUGUGCUUGCACAGCCUAGCCAAGGCGGACGGGUGAGUAACGCGUAAGGAACUUGCCCUGCAGUCAGGGAUAACAGACGGAAACGACUGAUAAGACCUGGUAAAGUCAGGCGGACUCAUGUCCAGCCUGAUGAAAAGAGAUGCUGCAGGAGAGCCUUGCGUCCUAUUAGCUUGUUGGUGGGGUAACGGCCCACCAAGGCGAUGAUAGGUAGCCGGCCUGAGAGGGUGGACGGCCACAAGGGGACUGAGAGACGGCCCUUCCUCCUACGGGAGGCAGCAGUGGGGAAUAUUGGACAAUGGGGGCAACCCUGAUCCAGCAAUUCUGUGUGCACGAUGAAGGUUUUCGGAUUGUAAAGUGCUUUCAGCAGGGAAGAAAAAAAUGACGGUACCUGCAGAAGAAGCGACGGCUAAAUACGUG
This 463-nucleotide ribosomal RNA is filed under the name uncultured bacterium. Its description in RNAcentral is "partial 16S ribosomal RNA". It matches the Rfam family "Bacterial small subunit ribosomal RNA", at positions 28 to 507 of the family's 1533-position model. The record is from RNAcentral.